UACGUAGGGUGCGAGCGUUAAUCGGAUUUACUGGGCGUAAAGCGUGCGCAGGCGGCCCGUUAAGACAGGUGUGAAAUCCCUGGGCUCAACCCCGGAAGUGCAUUGGAAACUGCUCUGCUUGAGUACCGGAGAGGAAGGGGGAAUUCCCGGUGUAGCGGUGAAAUGCGUAGAGAUCAGGAGGAACACCGAUGGCGAAGGCAGCCCCCUGGGCCUGUACUGACGCUCAUGCACGAAAGCGUGGGGAGCAAACAGG
Molecule: ribosomal RNA, 253 nt
Filed under: uncultured microorganism
Description: partial 16S ribosomal RNA
Rfam family: Bacterial small subunit ribosomal RNA
Source: RNAcentral